Molecule: ribosomal RNA, 252 nt
Filed under: uncultured bacterium
Lineage: Bacteria
Description: partial 16S ribosomal RNA
Rfam family: Bacterial small subunit ribosomal RNA
Source: RNAcentral
UACGUAGGUCCCGAGCGUUGUCCGGAUUUAUUGGGCGUAAAGCGAGCGCAGGUGGUUUAUUAAGUCUGGUGUAAAAGGCAGUGGCUCAACCAUUGUAUGCAUUGGAAACUGGUAGACUUGAGUGCAGGAGAGGAGAGUGGAAUUCCAUGUGUAGCGGUGAAAUGCGUAGGUAUAUGGAGGAGCACCGGUGGCGAAAGCGGCUCUCUGGCCUGUAACUGACACUGAGGCUCGAAAGCGUGGGGAGCAAACAGG